This is a long non-coding RNA of Cebus imitator (Panamanian white-faced capuchin), 507 nucleotides long. RefSeq lists it as uncharacterized. The record is from RefSeq and is a predicted model, not a curated record. NCBI's taxonomy places the organism in Eukaryota, Metazoa, Chordata, Mammalia, Primates, Cebidae. The transcript has 3 exons.
UGAUUUAAAUAUUGCAGCAGCUGGAGUGCAAAGCAUAUCAGCAAAUACUAUAGGAGGAGGAGUGCAUGUGUCCUGAAUACAAAAUUGAGAAUGUGGGGCACAGAGUUCAAAUGAUGGUACACAAAGACUAAUUCAUUUUGUGAGGAAGCAGGUGCAAAGAGGUAAUGAGAACAUGAACCAGUCUCAUAUAGCUCGUAAUGGUAGGACUGAGAUUGAGAUAGCCUGAUUCCAGUGUCCCUGCACUUAACUACUAUGCAUGAUUAAACAUUAAUUUAAGUAUUAAUUAUUAAACCAAAAAUCAAAGCAAAACACCUGUCUUUUUAAAAUGGUUAAAUUGUUUUAUUUUUUAAAAAUUGCUGUAUUAUGUAUGAUUGAUUAUUAUGUAGGUAUGAUUAACAUACAAAAAGCUACACAUACUUAAUGCAUACAACUUAAUGAGUUUGAAGAUAAGUAUACACCUAUGAGACCAUUAUCACAAUCUGUACCAUAAACAUAUCCAUCACAAAU